This 547-nucleotide ribosomal RNA is filed under the name uncultured bacterium. RNAcentral describes it as "bacterial SSU rRNA". It matches the Rfam family "Bacterial small subunit ribosomal RNA", at positions 355 to 894 of the family's 1533-position model. The record is from RNAcentral.
UAGGGAAUCUUCGGCAAUGGGGGGAACCCUGACCGAGCAACGCCGCGUGAGUGAAGAAGGUUUUCGGAUCGUAAAGCUCUGUUGUUAAGGAAGAACGAGUGUGAGAAUGGAAAGUUCAUACUGUGACGGUACUUAACCAGAAAGGGACGGCUAACUACGUGCCAGCAGCCGCGGUAAUACGUAGGUCCCGAGCGUUGUCCGGAUUUAUUGGGCGUAAAGCGAGCGCAGGCGGUUAGAUAAGUCUGAAGUUAAAGGCAGUGGCUCAACCAUUGUAGGCUUUGGAAACUGUUUAACUUGAGUGCAGAAGGGGAGAGUGGAAUUCCAUGUGUAGCGGUGAAAUGCGUAGAUAUAUGGAGGAACACCGGUGGCGAAAGCGGCUCUCUGGUCUGUAACUGACGCUGAGGCUCGAAAGCGUGGGGAGCGAACAGGAUUAGAUACCCUGGUAGUCCACGCCGUAACGAUGAGUGCUAGGUGUUAGGUCCUUUCCGGGACUUAGUGCCGCAGCUAACGCAUUAAGCACUCCGCCUGGGGAGUACGACCGCAAGGU